RNAcentral lists this ribosomal RNA (202 nucleotides) under uncultured bacterium. Its description in RNAcentral is "partial 16S ribosomal RNA". It matches the Rfam family "Bacterial small subunit ribosomal RNA", at positions 328 to 539 of the family's 1533-position model. The record is from RNAcentral.
ACGCUCGACACCUACGGGAGGCAGCAGUGGGGAAUAUUGGGCAAUGGGCGAAAGCCUGACCCAGCAACGCCGCGUGAGGGAAGAAGGUUUUCGGAUUGUAAACCUCUGUCCUCAGGGACGAAGGACGUGACGGUACCUGAGGAGGAAGCCCCCGGCUAACUACGUGCCAACAGCCGCGGUAAUCUGAGCGGGCUGGCAAGGC